GGAUGUGAUCAUAUCAACACUAAUACAUUGAAUUUCAUCGAAACUCCACAUUUAAGCGUAACUAGACUAGAAUAGUCCUAAAAUGGAUAAUCUCUUGAGGAAUUCUUGUAUUUCAUCCC
Ribosomal RNA from Gossypium raimondii (Peruvian cotton), 119 nucleotides. The record is from Rfam. NCBI's taxonomy places the organism in Eukaryota, Viridiplantae, Streptophyta, Magnoliopsida, Malvales, Malvaceae.